AGAUUGAACGCUGGCGGCAGGCCUAACACAUGCAAGUCGAGCGGCAGCACGGGUACUUGUACCUGGUGGCGAGCGGCGGACGGGUGAGUAAUGCCUAGGAAUCUGCCUGGUAGUGGGGGAUAACGCUCGGAAACGGACGCUAAUACCGCAUACGUCCUACGGGAGAAAGCAGGGGACCUUCGGGCCUUGCGCUAUCAGAUGAGCCUAGGUCGAUUAGCUAGUUGGUGAGGUAAUGGCUCACCAAGGCGACGAUCCGUAACUGGUCUGAGAGGGUGACCGGCCACACUGGGACUGAGACACGGCCAGACUCCGACGGGAGCAGGCAGGUGGGAAUAGUUGACACGAAGUGGGACGACAAGGCCUGAUGCAGCAACGCCGCGUGGA
Molecule: ribosomal RNA, 384 nt
Filed under: uncultured soil bacterium
Lineage: Bacteria
Description: bacterial SSU rRNA
Rfam family: Bacterial small subunit ribosomal RNA
Source: RNAcentral